GGGUGCAGAUCUGAUAGAUCUGAUCAAUUCGAAAGAAAUUUUUUGUAUAGUUUUUCCACGGGAGUGCUCAAGAUCAGAGCAAUUUGUUCAGAUCGGAUUGAGGUGUGAAAAAAAAUUCAGAAGGAAAAAUUUUUUUUUUCGCGAAUGAAGAACAUGAUGAACAAUGUCCGAAUUGGGUGACAGACCUAGAUUCAGAAUCGGGUCGGGUACAGAACGCAACGGAUUGACACGGGGGUCAAGAGUCUAUGUUGCGAGUCGGAUCCAAGCAGAACCCGCUGGGUCAAGGCGCGGGUCAGCAUCUGGAUCAGCUAGAACACGUGCGGGUCGCAUGUGCAGUGGAUCAGGGAUCCAGGUCGAGCCGCAGAUCCUCCCCGUGAAGCACUGAUGUCAUCCUGAUAGGUGCUGACGUCAGAAGAGAGAGAAAAAAAAAAGGAGAAAGAAAAAAAAAAUUUAAAUGGCGAGUACUUCGACAGCCAAGUUCGAGGUAGAGCCCUUUAAUGGAAAAAAUAAUUUCAGUUUAUGGCAGAGCACUGUGAAGGAUGUGUUGGUCCAACAGGGACUUAUUAUGACACUUCAUGGGAAAGACAAGAAGCCAGAGACCAUAUCAGAUGAUCAGUGGGAGGAGCUAGAAAUGAAAAUGGUAAGUACCAUUCGCUUAAGUUUAGCUCCAUAUAUUAAAUACAGUGUGUUGAAUGAAACAUUACUAGCUGAGCUUUGGAAAAAAUUAGAGAAUAUUUAUAUGUUCAAGUCCUUAGUUAAUCAACUGUAUUUGAAGAAACAAUUGUAUCAGUUGAGGAUGACUUAGGGCACAGAAGUUAGAGACCACCUCAAUUAUUUCAAUAAGAUAAUCACGCAGUUGCUGAGUA
This is a long non-coding RNA of Malania oleifera, 866 nucleotides long. RefSeq lists it as uncharacterized. The transcript is spliced from 2 exons. The record is from RefSeq and is a predicted model, not a curated record. Lineage: Eukaryota; Viridiplantae; Streptophyta; Magnoliopsida; Santalales; Ximeniaceae.